This 332-nucleotide ribosomal RNA is filed under the name uncultured bacterium. RNAcentral's name for it is "bacterial SSU rRNA". It matches the Rfam family "Bacterial small subunit ribosomal RNA", at positions 568 to 898 of the family's 1533-position model. The record is from RNAcentral.
CGUGUAGGCGGUCGGUCAAGUCCGAUGUGAAAGCCCGGGGCUUACCUCCGGAAGUGCAUCGGAAACUAGCCGGCUGGAGCGCGAUAGAGGAGGGUAGAAUUCCUGGUGUAGCGGUGAAAUGCGUAGAUAUCAGGAGGAAUACCGGCGGCGAAGGCGGCCCUCUGGAUCGUUGCUGACGCUGAGACGCGAAAGCGUGGGGAGCAAACAGGAUUAGAUACCCUGGUAGUCCACGCUGUAAACGAUGGGUACUAGGUGUUCGGGGUAUUGACCCCCUGAGUGCCGCAGCUAACGCAUUAAGUACCCCGCCUGGGGACUACGGCCGCAAGGUUAAA